CCAAGGAGUCUAACAUAUGUGCAAGUCAUUGGGUUAUAUUAAACCUAAUGGCGUAAUUAACUUAACUGUAUGGGAUUAAUUUUUAGUGUAUUACACUCUAUUAAUUCAAUCCCGGGGCGUUCCAUAUAGUUAUGUAUAAUGAUAAUUUAUUAUUAUUUAUACCUCUAACUGGAGCGUACCUUGAGCAUAUAUGCUGUGACCCGAAAGAUGGUGAACUAUACUUGAUCAGGUUGAAGUCAGGGGAAACCCUGAUGGAAGACCGAAACAGUUCUGACGUGCAAAUCGAUUGUCAGAAUUGAGUAUAGGGGCGAAAGACCAAUCGAACCAUC
RNAcentral lists this ribosomal RNA (329 nucleotides) under Bactrocera correcta (guava fruit fly). Its description in RNAcentral is "eukaryotic LSU rRNA". It matches the Rfam family "Eukaryotic large subunit ribosomal RNA", at positions 666 to 944 of the family's 3401-position model. The record is from RNAcentral. Lineage: Eukaryota; Metazoa; Arthropoda; Insecta; Diptera; Tephritidae.